Molecule: non-coding RNA, 946 nt
Filed under: Oncomelania hupensis hupensis
Lineage: Eukaryota; Metazoa; Mollusca; Gastropoda; Littorinimorpha; Pomatiopsidae
Source: RNAcentral
ACUUUCUCAUUUUUAUAUUAAAAACUUGUAAUAAAAGCUAACUAGAUACGUUUAGAAAGCAAAUUAAAUAUAUAAUAUAAUAAUGUUUGGCUCUGGCUUACUUAUAUAAUAAAAGUAAAUGAAUACACAUGGUUUUCUUAGAGAGGAGUGAGGUAAGUAAAAGUUAAAAAGAAAUUUAAAAUUUCUUCAAGCUUUUAUUUUAAGUAUUAUUAAGUAUAUAAUGCUUAGUAAAGUCCCACUAACACCAGUGCUAGAGAUUAAAAAAGGACGCAAGUCUGGUUUAGAUUAGCUAUUUAAAUUUGGUCAACUUGGUGCCAGCAUCCGCGGUUACACCAAGAAAUUAAGUUAUAUAUAAUGGUAAAAAGACAGUUAAAUGAGUAAUCAGUUUUUUAUUAGCUUUUAUUCAAAAGUAAAAUUUAUAAAUAAAAGUUAAAACCCUAUAAAAAAUUUGAGUUGAAGCUGUGAAAAUCUCGAGGGAAACUGGGAUUAGAUACCCCAUUAUUCUUGAAGAUAAAUGAAUUUAUACCAGGGCACUACGAAUAAUUUUCAGAUUUAAAACCCAAAGAGCUUGGCGGUGUUUUAGACUAUUUAGGGGAACUUGUUUCGUAAUCGAUAAUCCACGAAAUACCUAACCUUCCUUUGUAAUCAGUAUGUAUACCGUUGUCGUCAGGUAACUUUUUAAAAUAAAAGAGUUAGCGAAAAAGCCAUGAGCUUACACGUCAAAUCAAGGUACAGCCUAUGGGGGGGAGAGAAUGAGUUACAAUUAAAAUUCAUAAUAACGAAAUAGAAAAAGAAAAUUUCUUUGAAGGCGGACUUAAAAGUAAAAAAAUUAUUAUAGAGAUUUUUUGAAUCCAGCUCUGAAACGUGCACACAUCGCCCGUCGCUCUCGCUGAAAAGUGAGAUAAGUCGUAACAUAGUAGGGGUAAUGGAAAUUGUCCCUAGAUGA